This 126-nucleotide microRNA precursor is filed under the name Myotis davidii. RNAcentral describes it as "mir-9193 microRNA precursor family". It matches the Rfam family "mir-9193 microRNA precursor family". Lineage: Eukaryota; Metazoa; Chordata; Mammalia; Chiroptera; Vespertilionidae. The record is from Rfam by way of RNAcentral.
CAUGCAUCAGUGGGGUCCCUCGGCCUGGCCUGUGCCCUCUUACAAUCUGGGUCCCCUCAGGGGAUGUAAGAGAGCCAGUUUCAGCCUGAUCCCACAGGCCAGGCCGAGGGACACCACUGGUGCACA